UACAGAGGUCUCAAGCGUUGUUCGGAUUCAUUGGGCGUAAAGGGUGCGUAGGUGGCGAGGUUAGUCAGGUGUGAAAUCUCGGGGCUCAACCCCGAAACUGCACUUGAUACUGCCUUGCUAGGGUACUGGAGAGGAGAUUGGAAUUUACGGUGUAGCAGUGAAAUGCGUAGAUAUCGUAAGGAAGACCAGUGGCGAAGGCGAAUCUCUGGACAGUUACUGACACUGAGGCACGAAGGCCAGGGGAGCAAACGGG
This 253-nucleotide ribosomal RNA is filed under the name uncultured bacterium. Its description in RNAcentral is "partial 16S ribosomal RNA". It matches the Rfam family "Bacterial small subunit ribosomal RNA", at positions 524 to 776 of the family's 1533-position model. The record is from RNAcentral.